Myotis myotis is the source of this 4375-nucleotide long non-coding RNA. RefSeq lists it as uncharacterized. Lineage: Eukaryota; Metazoa; Chordata; Mammalia; Chiroptera; Vespertilionidae. The record is from RefSeq and is a predicted model, not a curated record. The transcript has 3 exons.
GCCUUGACCAGGAAUUGAACCUUGACCACCUAGGUUAUAGUUCAAUGCUCAACCACUGAGCCACACUGGCCCAGCUGUAGGCAUUUCCUAUAAAAGCACCUCCCUGAACUGCUAGUCUCUUCCCCUGAUUGUUUUCCUUUCCCCCUUGAUAUUUUACAUUUAUUUAUAUAUCUAUUGAUGUCCUCUUCUCAAGAGUAUAGAAGCUCCCUAAGGUCUUUGUCAACCUCAUUGCUGCAGCCUGGCAUCUGGAACAGUUCCUGGGACUAGAGCAGGGCCUCAAUGGUUGAUGAAUGAAUGGAUUAUUCUAGAUCUUGGAGGUGGUGUGUCAUCUCUGAGUCCCCACUUGUCUCCCUGCCUGUGUGUGGUCACCAAGUCUUCAGUCUUCCUAGUGCUAGUUCAGUGAACAUUUAUUGUGCAAACUAUCUUACUGUGCUUAUUAUUGAGCUACUUACUUCCCACAGUGGCUGUAUCGAAUGAGGGAGUGAAUGUGACAAGACCGUUGUACACUCUCAAGCCCCACACCAAUGUCAUUUUUCUUCCAGUCCCACUGUGAUGACACUAACUAAUGUUCCUUUUGCUUCAAACAGGAGCCUCUAAAUGAUUCCCUGCUUCCAAGCUCUCCCCAGAUAAUAGAUUCCAAACGCUGCUGCCCACUUACUAGUAAUCUUCUAAAGCAUCGCUACAAUUAUGCUCUCCUACUCAAAACCUUGACUGCCUUUCAAUUCCUGACCACAUAGUGUACAAAUUCCCUGGCUUGGAACAAGAUCCUCCCCAACUUGGAUCCAGACUGCCUUUUCUUGUCUCCCUUUCUCCCCCACCAGAGCUCUCAACCUUAAAUCCAGACCUCAGAGCAAGUGAGCAUCACACUGCUGUCCUCCCUAGGUUUUUCCACUUCUAGGGGCUCUUCCUCUUCUCUCUUCUCUUAAUGGCAUUAAGGUCUUUCUCUUGAGGGGGUAUUCUUACCCCCAUCCUACCUUUCCUUAAAGGGGGAAGGGAGGAAGAAGAUGCAAGGAACACUUUAAUUGUCUCUCUCUCCUCUUUCCAUUCAGAUUGGGAAGGCAGGGAAAGUGUGAUCUCUGUUUGUCCAAGCUUCUCUGACUGCGUGUCCCUCCCUUUAAAACAGGCCGUGUAGUUCUGUCUCUGGGAUCUGCCUGCCAACAAUAAGCAUGUAUUCACCUUGGGAAGGCAGGGUUCCCAAGGCAGGCUUAGCUUGCCUGGCCGAGCCAGUAGUCAGGGGAGAUCGUGGGAAACCUACAUUUGCUCCAGGAUAAGCUAUGUUGUCCAAUCCAGCCUUUCUGCAUUUUAAGGCUGAGGUUCUGGUCUCCGUGCAUCUGACUCUAUAUUUUACCUCGUGCUGAACUCUGAAGAGAAGGAGCAAUUAAUUGCUACUCUCCCUUAAAUUCAAAUAUCACCCAGAUGACCCUUUUUACCAACUGCUCUACAAUAUCGAUUUUUAUAAUGUCUAUUCAGAUUUGUAAUCUACCAUCAUAAGCAUAUAGGAAGAAGAGGCACUGUUAUAUACUAUCCUUCUUCCUAAAUCCCUUUAGAACUCAGGUUCAUGGGUUAGUGUUCAUUUGCAUGGAGGCCAUAAUGGGCUAAUACAUUUGAUAGUAAGAAAAAAAAAGUAAAAAUAAAGUAGAUAUGAUGAGAAAUGGGAUGUUUCCCAUUUCUUAGAAUUUUGGCUGAAGCUCGGAAGCUAGUUACCACGUAGGACAAAUUCCCCACAAAUGAAGAGGGGGAUGUGGGGGGAGGGGGUUGCCUAGGGUAGCUGGCGUUUUCCAACAAGAAAAAGACAGUGUUGCUGUUUUACCAUCUGGGUGGGCUCUGUUGGUGCCCGCGAUCUGAAGCAGCUACGUAACUAGAGUAGAGAGAGAAUAUGUUUUGUUCUGCCGUUUACAUCUCACCCUAAACUCAUGAACAAGGGUUGGUUUUCUUGAAAGUAAUGGUAAGUCCAUGAACUGGGUCAAAGAGCAGACCUGGGAGCUGGGCGCGAGGAGAAGGGUGCUAGUUGUGUAUCACGGGUUUAUAAAAGGCGGUCUGUUUUCGGAAAUAUGCGCAAUUACAUCAGCCCUGGCUGUUGCUGCUCCUGAUAAUGCACCAUUAGUCAUCUUUCUUCCCACAAAUCCUCAUCACGUGAGCUCAAGAGAUUCAAUGCUGAAUUUCAAAUCCACUUCAGGGAUAUUUUCACAACUCGUGUGUUAGAAGCCUGGCAUCAUUUGAAUAAAAGUCACUUGUUUGAAGAUCAGUGGGAAAGUUGGGGAAUAAACAAGCUCCUGGUCAUUGAUUAUGUUUUAAAAGUGUUACCAAUGAAUUGAGCCUUAACGUUCCUUGUGUAACUCUUAAACUAUAUUGCUAUACUAGGUACCAUGAAAAUUCGAUGGACUCGGGAGUUUAGAGGUUGGAAAUUCUAGUUGGUGAGGGUAAAUGAUGAAGCUAUGGCAAAUGUUUAUGUCCCUUUCCAAGUGAAAGAAGUUUGAAAAGGCUGCAUAAGCUGAUGAACACAAAUGACGUCCACUAUCUACCUACUAAAGCUAAAGCACUUUUUAUACAAUGUAUUAGAGGCCUGAUGCACAAAAUUUGUGCAAGAGUAGGCCUUCCUUCCCCCGGCUGCCGGCACUGGCUUCCCUCUGGCACUGGGACCUGGGCUUCCCUCACAGCCCCAGCUUCGUCCAGAAGGUCGUCUGGAAGGAUGUCUGGUCUAAUUAAUAUUAUGCUUUUAUUAUUAUAGAUUAGCCAGGGUUCCCCAGAGAAAUAAAAACAACAGGAUGUCUCUAUUUCCAUGUCUAUCUAUUAUUUGUAUCUAUCUUGAAGUCUGUCUAUCUAUCAUCUAUCUAUCAUUUAUUGAUAUAUUUUAAAGAAUCGGCUUACACAAUUAUGGAGGCUUGGUGAGUCCAAAAUCUUCAGGGUAUACCAGCAGGCUGGAGACCAAGGGAAGGGUUGUAAUUCAAGUCCAAAGUCAGUCUGCUGGCUGGAUUCCUUCUUGCAUGGGUGGGGUCAGUCUUUUUCUAUUCAGGACUUCGACUGAUUGAAUGAGGCCCACCAACAUUAUGGAGGGCCAUCUACUUUACCCACUGUCCACCAAUUUAUGUUAAUCUCAUCCAAAAAGCACCUUUGCAGAAACAUCUAGAAUAAUGUUUGACCAAAUAUCUGGGCACUGUAGCCCAUAAAAUUGACACAUAAAAUUAACCAUCACAUAAGAUAAUGUGAAGAGCUAUUAAUUUUUGGUUGUUAUUUGUCUUUUUCAAGAGAAAGCUACCAAGAUGGCAAAAUUACUGCUAUUUGGGGAAUAGCCACAGAUUGAGAUGUUAAACUGGAAAGGAGAAGACUUAGGGACAUAUAAUACUACAAAGAUAUUGGCACCAUCCAGAGAUAUAUAAUGUGUGUAUAAGGUUAUAUUUCCUCUGCCUUUCAAAAUACUCCAAUGCCUGCAUGGGAAAGUCAGAGAGCACAACCAGGAUUCUCAGAGGAGACACAUUUUGACUCAAGACUGCACCAUCAGGAACUGUGACUUCUGACCACAGUGGGUCCUGAACCGACUCACUACUGCCCUCCUGUGGUUUCCUGGAUUUUACCCAAACCAGAUUCCCUGCUCUGUGUCAGCCCUAUCCUUUCCACCUUCUCCAGGUCCCGGCUCAGAUCACUAAGUGCCAAAUAAACUUCAAGAUCUGAUUUUGAGGAAGACUUCGUUAUUCCUGGUUGUUGGUAUCUACUGAAAUCUCUCUUUGCUUAGAGGUGAGUUUUCAUUUUGUUUAGCUAGCUGUUGAUGAAGAAAAGAUGUCUUAAAAAUUCCAACCCUUCUAUCCAUUAUUCUUUUAUCUCAAAAAUUUCUACUUAACAUAGAAGGUGUGAAUGUGUGGAGAAAAGGAUGCCUCUGAUAGAUCCACUGUCCUUUAAAGCUAAGCGGAAAUAGCCCUAAACUUCUUUCAAUGGUUUUGAAUCUUUGUGAGGCUGACAUUUGUUAUAAAUGUAGCUUUUCAGUUUUAUUUAUCUAGAAAUAUCAUUAUUUGUUAAUACAUGCUGCCACCUAGUGGAACAGCUGAAGGGCUGUAUCAGGGAUUCAGACUUGGCUUUGUACCUGAAUUUCGGUGUUAGGCUUCGUCCAAAUUAUGUAACACUAGAGGCCCGGUGCACGGAUUCUGCACAUUGAAAGUAAAUUAAUUAGAAGGUGACCAGCGGGGCAGGGCUGGGCCAGACAGGCCAGACACCCUAGAGCCAACCUCCUGCGGUCCCUCCCUGGCCUGCCACACUUGGGGAAGCGCUGGGGCUCUAAGGGUGUCUGUGGAGUGAGCAGGGUCCCUUCAGCAGGUGGGGUCCCUCGGCCUGGCCUGUGGGGAUUGGGCCGAAACCAGCAGUCUGACAUCCCCUGAGGGGUCCU